GUGCCAGCCGCCGCGGUAAUACGAAGGGUGCAAGCGUUACUCGGAAUUACUGGGCGUAAAGCGUGCGUAGGUGGUUCGUUAAGUCUGAUGUGAAAGCCCUGGGCUCAACCUGGGAAUUGCAUUGGAUACUGGCGAGCUAGAGUGCGGUAGAGGAUGGCGGAAUUCCCGGUGUAGCAGUGAAAUGCGUAGAGAUCGGGAGGAACAUCUGUGGCGAAGGCGGCCAUCUGGACCAGCACUGACACUGAGGCACGAAAGCGUGGGGAGCAAACAGGAUUAGAAACCCCCGUAGUCC
This 292-nucleotide ribosomal RNA is filed under the name uncultured bacterium. RNAcentral describes it as "partial 16S ribosomal RNA". It matches the Rfam family "Bacterial small subunit ribosomal RNA", at positions 505 to 796 of the family's 1533-position model. The record is from RNAcentral.